UGUGGGAGCUGGCUUGCCAGCGAUGGCUUACUGGCAUUCAACAUUGAUGUCGACUGAUGUACCGCUAUCGCUGGCAAGCCAGCUCCCACA
This 90-nucleotide non-coding RNA is filed under the name Pseudomonas sp. WPR_5_2. The record is from RNAcentral. Lineage: Bacteria; Pseudomonadati; Pseudomonadota; Gammaproteobacteria; Pseudomonadales; Pseudomonadaceae.